Molecule: unclassified non-coding RNA, 325 nt
Filed under: fungal sp.
Lineage: Eukaryota; Fungi
Description: partial internal transcribed spacer region
Rfam family: Eukaryotic small subunit ribosomal RNA (bases 1-46)
Source: RNAcentral
AAGUCGUAACAAGGUAACCGUAGGUGAACCUGCGGUUGGAUCAUUAACAAAAUUUUAAAAAUUUAAAGAAAGGGAGGGGAAAAAUUCAUUUUUUCCCUCUUCUUUUUUUAAACACAUUUUGUGAACUUUAUUCUGUUUCUUGGUGGUUUAACGGGGGAUCUUUUUACCAAAAAAGCGACCCUUAUUUUUUGUGCUGGAUUUUUUGUCCGGCUCGAAAAAAGUCCACCAGUCUCUAAAAUAAAACUUUUUUUAUUAAUUUCGUUUUUAAAUUCUUUAAAAUUAAAAAAUUAAAAAACAACUUUUGACAACGGAUCUCUAGGCUCUC